AGGAUAAUAGUUAAAAAAUAACGUUUAAUUUGCACUUAAAAAUCAUUGAAAUUCAAUUUAUCUUAA
This 66-nucleotide transfer RNA is filed under the name Ceratopus sp. CG351. RNAcentral describes it as "tRNA-Ala". Lineage: Eukaryota; Metazoa; Arthropoda; Insecta; Coleoptera; Curculionidae. The record is from RNAcentral.